Molecule: ribosomal RNA, 463 nt
Filed under: uncultured bacterium
Lineage: Bacteria
Description: partial 16S ribosomal RNA
Rfam family: Bacterial small subunit ribosomal RNA
Source: RNAcentral
GAUGAACGCUGACAGAAUGCUUAACACAUGCAAGUCUUUGGCGAAGCUGUGCUUGCACAGCCUAGCCAAGGCGGACGGGUGAGUAACGCGUAAGGAACUUGCCCUGCAGUCAGGGAUAACAGACGGAAACGACUGAUAAGACCUGGUAAAGUCAGGCGGACUCAUGUCCAGCCUGAUGAAAAGAGAUGCUGCAGGAGAGCCUUGCGUCCUAUUAGCUUGUUGGUGGGGUAACGGCCCACCAAGGCGAUGAUAGGUAGCCGGCCUGAGAGGGUGGACGGCCACAAGGGGACUGAGAUCCGGCCCUUACUCCUACGGGAGGCAGCAGUGGGGAAUAUUGGACAAUGGGGGCAACCCUGAUCCAGCAAUUCUGUGUGCACGAUGAAGGUUUUCGGAUUGUAAAGUGCUUUCAGCAGGGAAGAAAAAAAUGACGGUACCUGCAGAAGAAGCGACGGCUAAAUACGUG